Geosporobacter subterraneus DSM 17957 is the source of this 83-nucleotide non-coding RNA. The record is from Rfam. Lineage: Bacteria; Bacillati; Bacillota; Clostridia; Peptostreptococcales; Thermotaleaceae.
GGACUGCGAUGAUGUGAAAGGUUGCCAAGAAGGAUUUUGGGGAAAUUUUCACGGAGAAUGUCCGUUCAAGAAUCGGGCGACAG